RNAcentral lists this ribosomal RNA (440 nucleotides) under uncultured bacterium. RNAcentral describes it as "partial 16S ribosomal RNA". It matches the Rfam family "Bacterial small subunit ribosomal RNA", at positions 338 to 795 of the family's 1533-position model. The record is from RNAcentral.
CCUACGGGGGGCUGCAGUGGGGAAUAUUGGACAAUGGGCGAAAGCCUGAUCCAGCAAUGCCGCGUGAGUGAUGAAGGCCUUAGGGUUGUAAAGCUCUUUUACCAGGGGUGAUAAUGACAGUACCUGGAGAAUAAGCUCCGGCUAACUCCGUUCCGGCAGCCGCGGUAAUACGGAGGGAGCUAGCGUUGUUCGGAAUUACGGGGCGUAAAGCGCACGUAGGCGGUUUUGCAAGUCAGGGGUGAAAGCCCGGAGCUCAACUCCGGAAUUGCCAUUGAAACUGGAAGACUAGAAUACUGGAGAGGUCAGUGGAAUUCCGAGUGUAGAGGUGAAAUUCGUAGAUAUUCGGAAGAACACCAGUGGCGAAGGCGACUGACUGGACAAGUAUUGACGCUGAGGUGCGAAAGCGUGGGGAGCAAACAGGAUUAGAUACCCCAGUAGUC